AUUGAACGCUGGCGGCAGGCCUAACACAUGCAAGUCGAGCGGCAGCGCGGGGCAACCUGGCGGCGAGCGGCGAACGGGUGAGUAACGCGUAGGAAUCUACCCAGUAGCGGGGGAUAGCCCGGGGGAAACUCGGAUUAAUACCGCAUACGCCCUAAGGGGGAAAGCAGGGGAUCGUAAGACCUUGCACUAUUGGAAGAGCCUGCGUUGGAUUAGCUAGUAGGUAGGGUAAAGGCCUACCAAGGCGACGAUCCAUAGCUGGUCUGAGAGGAUGAUCAGCCACACCGGAACUGAGACACGGUCCGGACUCCUACGGGAGGCAGCAGUGGGGAAUAUUGGACAAUGGGGGCAACCCUGAUCCAGCCAUGCCGCGUGUGUGAAGAAGGCCUUCGGGUUG
RNAcentral lists this ribosomal RNA (394 nucleotides) under uncultured bacterium. RNAcentral describes it as "bacterial SSU rRNA". It matches the Rfam family "Bacterial small subunit ribosomal RNA", at positions 29 to 425 of the family's 1533-position model. The record is from RNAcentral.